RNAcentral lists this ribosomal RNA (1417 nucleotides) under Microbacterium sp. CD142. Its description in RNAcentral is "bacterial SSU rRNA". It matches the Rfam family "Bacterial small subunit ribosomal RNA". The record is from RNAcentral. Lineage: Bacteria; Bacillati; Actinomycetota; Actinomycetes; Micrococcales; Microbacteriaceae.
GGUGCUCUCAUUAAUAUGCCAGUCCUAUCGAUAGAUAGGAGCCUGCUCUGGGGGAUUAGUGGCGAACGGGUGAGUAACACGUGAGCAACCUGCCCCUGACUCUGGGAUAAGCGCUGGAAACGGCGUCUAAUACUGGAUACGAAUAUCAAUCGCAUGGUUACUUGUUGGAAAGAUUUUUUGGUUGGGGAUGGGCUCGCGGCCUAUCAGCUUGUUGGUGAGGUAAUGGCUCACCAAGGCGUCGACGGGUAGCCGGCCUGAGAGGGUGACCGGCCACACUGGGACUGAGACACGGCCCAGACUCCUACGGGAGGCAGCAGUGGGGAAUAUUGCACAAUGGGCGGAAGCCUGAUGCACCAACGCCGCGUGAGGGAUGACGGCCUUCGGGUUGUAAACCUCUUUUAGCAGGGAAGAAGCGAGAGUGACGGUACCUGCAGAAAAAGCGCCGGCUAACUACGUGCCAGCAGCCGCGGUAAUACGUAGGGCGCAAGCGUUAUCCGGAAUUAUUGGGCGUAAAGAGCUCGUAGGCGGUUUGUCGCGUCUGCUGUGAAAUCCCGAGGCUCAACCUCGGGCCUGCAGUGGGUACGGGCAGACUAGAGUGCGGUAGGGGAGAUUGGAAUUCCUGGUGUAGCGGUGGAAUGCGCAGAUAUCAGGAGGAACACCGAUGGCGAAGGCAGAUCUCUGGGCCGUAACUGACGCUGAGGAGCGAAAGGGUGGGGAGCAAACAGGCUUAGAUACCCUGGUAGUCCACCCCGUAAACGUUGGGAACUAGUUGUGGGGUCCAUUCCACGGAUUCCGUGACGCAGCUAACGCAUUAAGUUCCCCGCCUGGGGAGUACGGCCGCAAGGCUAAAACUCAAAGGAAUUGACGGGGACCCGCACAAGCGGCGGAGCAUGCGGAUUAAUUCGAUGCAACGCGAAGAACCUUACCAAGGCUUGACAUAUACGAGAACGGGCCAGAAAUGGUCAACUCUUUGGACACUCGUAAACAGGUGGUGCAUGGUUGUCGUCAGCUCGUGUCGUGAGAUGUUGGGUUAAGUCCCGCAACGAGCGCAACCCUCGUUCUAUGUUGCCAGCACGUAAUGGUGGGAACUCAUGGGAUACUGCCGGGGUCAACUCGGAGGAAGGUGGGGAUGACGUCAAAUCAUCAUGCCCCUUAUGUCUUGGGCUUCACGCAUGCUACAAUGGCCGGUACAAUGGGCAGCGAUACCGUGAGGUGGAGCGAAUCCCAAAAAGCCGGUCCCAGUUCGGAUUGAGGUCUGCAACUCGACCUCAUGAAGUCGGAGUCGCUAGUAAUCGCAGAUCAGCAACGGUGCGGUGAAUACGUUCCCGGGUCUUGUACACACCGCCCGUCAAGUCAUGAAAGUCGGUAACACCUGAAGCCGGUGGCCUAACCCUUGUGGAGGGAGCAUCGAAAGUGC